AACGAACGCUGGCGGCAUGCCUAACACAUGCAAGUCGAACGAGACCUUCGGGUCUAGCGGCGCACGGGUGCGUAACGCGUGGGAACCUGCCCUUAGGUUCGGAAUAACUCCCCGAAAGGGGUGCUAAUACCGGAUAAUGUCUUCGGACCAAAGAUUUAUCGCCUUUGGAUGGGCCCGCGUUGGAUUAGCUAGUUGGUAGGGUAAAAGCCUACCAAGGCGACGAUCCAUAGCUGGUCUGAGAGGAUGAUCAGCCACACUGGGACUGAGACACGGCCCAGACUACUACGGGAGGCAGCAGUGGGGAAUAUUGGACAAUGGGCGAAAGCCUGAUCCAGCAAUGCCGCGUGAGUGAUGAAGGCCUUAGGGUUGUAAAGCUCUUUUACCCGGGAUGAUAAUGACAGUACCGGGAGAAUAAGAUCCGGCUAACUCCGUG
This 433-nucleotide ribosomal RNA is filed under the name uncultured bacterium. RNAcentral describes it as "partial 16S ribosomal RNA". It matches the Rfam family "Bacterial small subunit ribosomal RNA", at positions 29 to 507 of the family's 1533-position model. The record is from RNAcentral.